This 429-nucleotide ribosomal RNA is filed under the name Gemmatimonadota bacterium. RNAcentral describes it as "Gemmatimonadetes bacterium partial 16S ribosomal RNA". It matches the Rfam family "Bacterial small subunit ribosomal RNA", at positions 355 to 776 of the family's 1533-position model. The record is from RNAcentral. Lineage: Bacteria; Pseudomonadati; Gemmatimonadota.
UAGGGAAUCUUCGGCAAUGGACGAAAGUCUGACCGAGCAACGCCGCGCGAGUGAAGAAGGUUUUCGGAUCGUAAAACUCUGUUGUUAGAGAAGAACAAGGACGUUAGUAACUGAACGUCCCCUGACGGUAUCUAACCAGAAAGCCACGGCUAACUACGUGCCAGCAGCCGCGGUAAUACGUAGGUGGCAAGCGUUGUCCGGAUUUAUUGGGCGUAAAGCGAGCGCAGGCGGUUUCUUAAGUCUGAUGUGAAAGCCCCCGGCUCAACCGGGGAGGGUCAUUGGAAACUGGGAGACUUGAGUGCAGAAGAGGAGAGUGGAAUUCCAUGUGUAGCAGUGAAAUGCGUAGAUAUAUGGAGGAACACCAGUGGCGAAGGCGGCUCUCUGGUCUGUAACUGACGCUGAGGCUCGAAAGCGUGGGGAGCAAACAGG